This 563-nucleotide ribosomal RNA is filed under the name uncultured bacterium. Its description in RNAcentral is "bacterial SSU rRNA". It matches the Rfam family "Bacterial small subunit ribosomal RNA", at positions 338 to 917 of the family's 1533-position model. The record is from RNAcentral.
CCUACGGGAGGCAGCAGUCGGGAAUUUUGCCCAAUGGGGGAAACCCUGAGGCAGCAACGCCGCGUGAGGGAUGAAGGCCUUCGGGUUGUAAACCUCUUUUCUUAGGGACGAUAAUGACGGUACCUAAGGAAUAAGCCACGGCUAACUACGUGCCAGCAGCCGCGGUAAUACGUAGGUGGCAAGCGUUGUCCGGAUUUACUGGGCGUAAAGAGCGCGCAGGCGGCCAGGUAAGUCGAAUGUGAAAGCCCCCGGCUCAACUGGGGAAGGUCGUUUGAUACUGCCUGGCUCGAAGAUAGGAGAGGGAAGUGGAAUUUCAGGUGUAGUGGUGAAAUGCGUAGAUAUCUGAAGGAACACCAGUGGCGAAGGCGACUUUCUGGCCUAUUCUUGACGCUGAGGCGCGAAAGCUAGGGGAGCGAACGGGAUUAGAUACCCCGGUAGUCCUAGCCGUAAACGAUGAACACUAGAUGUUGGUGGUAUCAACCCCGCCAGUGUCGCAGCUAACGCAUUAAGUGUUCCGCCUGGGGAGUACGGCCGCAAGGCUAAAACUCAAAUGAAUUGACGGA